RNAcentral lists this ribosomal RNA (497 nucleotides) under uncultured bacterium. RNAcentral's name for it is "partial 16S ribosomal RNA". It matches the Rfam family "Bacterial small subunit ribosomal RNA", at positions 28 to 507 of the family's 1533-position model. The record is from RNAcentral.
GAUGAACGCUGGCGGUGUGCCUAAUACAUGCAAGUCGAGCGAACAGUUGAGGGGCUGGCGCCUCCGGCUUUAUAGGCGGACGGGAUAGUAACACGUGGAGAACACAACUGUAAGACAUGAAUAAUAAUGCGAAACCGGAGCUAAGGCCGGAGAAUUAUUGGCACCACAUGGUUCAGUAGGGUAAGACGGUAUUUGUGUCACGAAUAGAUCGAGCCGCGCCGCUUUAGCUGGUUGGUGAGGAAACGCCUUACCAAGGGAACGGUGAGUAGCCGAACUGAGCGGGUGAUUGGCCACCCUGGAACUGAGACCCGGUCCAGACUCCUACGGGAGGCAGCAGUAGGGAAUCCUCCGCGAUGGGCGAAUGCCUGACGGAGCAACGCCGCGUGAGUGAUGAAGGUCUUCGGAUCGUAAAACUCUGUUAUUAGGGAAGAACAAAUGUGUAAGUCACUAUGCACGUCUUGACGGUACCUAAUCAGAAAGCCACGGCUAACUACGUG